CUUUGGGUGUGACUGCGUACCUUUUGUAUAAUGGGUCAGCGACUUAUAUUCUGUAGCAAGGUUAACCGAAUAGGGGAGCCGGAGGGAAACCGAGUCUUAACCGGGCGUUAAGUUGCAGGGUAUAGACCCGAAACCCGGUGAUCUAGCCAUGGGCAGGUUGAAGGUUGGGUAACACUAACUGGAGGACCGAACCGACUAAUGUUGAAAAAUUAGCGGAUGACCUGUGGCUGGGGGUGAAAGGCCAAUCAAACCGGGAGAUAGCUGGUUCUCCCCGAAAGCUAUUUAGGUAGCGCCUCGUGAAUUCAUCUCCGGGGGUAGAGCACUGUUUCGGCUAGGGGGCCAUCCCGGCUUACCAACCCGAUGCAAACUGCGAAUACCGGAGAAUGUUAUCACGGGAGACACACGGCGGGUGCUAACGUCCGUCGUGAAGAGGGAAACAACCCAGACCGCCAGCUAAGGUCCCAAAGUCAUGGUUAAGUGGGAAACGAUGUGGGAAGGCCCAGACAGCCAGGAUGUUGGCUUAGAAGCAGCCAUCAUUUAAAGAAAGCGUAAUAGCUCACUGGUCGAGUCGGCCUGCGCGGAAGAUGUAACGGGGCUAAACCAUGCACCGAAGCUGCGGCAGCGACACUGUGUGUUGUUGGGUAGGGGAGCGUUCUG
This 657-nucleotide ribosomal RNA is filed under the name Salmonella enterica subsp. enterica serovar Enteritidis. RNAcentral describes it as "partial 23S ribosomal RNA". It matches the Rfam family "Bacterial large subunit ribosomal RNA", at positions 583 to 1243 of the family's 2925-position model. The record is from RNAcentral. Lineage: Bacteria; Pseudomonadati; Pseudomonadota; Gammaproteobacteria; Enterobacterales; Enterobacteriaceae.